UCAUUUUUAUUUGCCUAUUGGUAUCCCUGAAGGCCCAUAGGGAUGUCCCAGUAUACGUGAACCAAUAUCCUACAUUGUUAAUUAAUCGGCCGUCCUCAUACCCCGUCCUGUAAGAGUACCAAAAAUAUCAUCCCCUCAAUACUCUGUCCGAUAUGAGGGUGAACCGGUCCGUCCUUAUACUCCGUCCGAUAUGAGCACCAAAAAUAUCAUCUCUCAAUACUCCGUCCGGUAUGAGGGUGAACCAGCCCGUCUCUAUACCCCGUCCGGUAUGAGCACAAAAAAUAUCAUUAUUAGAUACCUCAUCCGAUGUGAGGUAACGUUCACGGUAGGGUUCUCUAUGUAUCCAGUUCAUCCACCACUUCCAAAGAUACCAAGUAAGACAACCAUUUAUUAAUUCACAUGACCAAAUAAUUUUCCGUUUGCAUAUUAAUUUUUAAUUUCAUAAAUCAACCGUAAACCAC
Molecule: long non-coding RNA, 461 nt
Filed under: Carica papaya (papaya)
Lineage: Eukaryota; Viridiplantae; Streptophyta; Magnoliopsida; Brassicales; Caricaceae
Description: long non-coding RNA (CPAP_LNC007996)
Source: RNAcentral